RNAcentral lists this ribosomal RNA (301 nucleotides) under uncultured bacterium. RNAcentral's name for it is "partial 16S ribosomal RNA". It matches the Rfam family "Bacterial small subunit ribosomal RNA", at positions 509 to 808 of the family's 1533-position model. The record is from RNAcentral.
CAGUCGCCGCGGGAAUACGGAGGGAGCCAGCGUUGUUCGGAAUUACUGGGCGUAAAGCGCGCGUAGGCGGUUACUCAAGUCAGAGGUGAAAGCCCGGGGCUCAACCCCGGAACUGCCUUUGAAACUAGGUGACUAGAAUCUUGGAGAGGUCAGUGGAAUUCCGAGUGUAGAGGUGAAAUUCGUAGAUAUUCGGAAGAACACCAGUGGCGAAGGCGACUGACUGGACAAGUAUUGACGCUGAGGUGCGAAAGCGUGGGGAGCAAACAGGAUUAGAUACCCCGUGUAGUCCCUGUCUCUUAUA